CAGAAACCUGUCUGGCUGUCAUUCUUUGUUCCCCCUGACCCUUCCCUUCUAGGUUCUUUGGUGACUGCAGCACAUUGGGGUGUGAGCUUGCGUGAUUCCCUGAAUGAAGGUCAGGGCAUUUCUGGCGCCCAAACGUGGGGCUCCACCCUCUUAGGACGUGGACCCGUUGACUCUGCAGAGGAUCCUCGACCUUUUUCCUAAGCGACCACAGUCUUGCCCACGCAGAGGAGGUGAAAUUUGAUCGCAUCCUUCUGAGGACUUUUUCCCUUUAAGAAGGUUCUGCCUGUGUCCUACAUUCUGUAGAAAGAAGCUUUGAAAUCCAGCAUUCACCAAGAAGUCUACAAGAGAAGUAGCCAGAAAUUGGAAGCAACCCAGAUGCCCCUCAACUGAAGAAUGGAUGAAGAAAUGUGGUAUAUUUACACAAUGGAGUACUACUCAGUAGAAAACAGCAAUGGAAUCUUGAAAUUCGCAGGCAAAUGGAUGGAACUAGAAGAAACCAUUGUGAGCAAGGUAAC
Molecule: long non-coding RNA, 515 nt
Filed under: Cricetulus griseus (Chinese hamster)
Lineage: Eukaryota; Metazoa; Chordata; Mammalia; Rodentia; Cricetidae
Description: lncRNA (ENSCGRG00015041451.1)
Source: RNAcentral